RNAcentral lists this ribosomal RNA (253 nucleotides) under uncultured bacterium. Its description in RNAcentral is "partial 16S ribosomal RNA". It matches the Rfam family "Bacterial small subunit ribosomal RNA", at positions 524 to 776 of the family's 1533-position model. The record is from RNAcentral.
UACGAAGGGGGCAAGCGUUGCUCGGAAUUAUUGGGCGUAAAGCGUACGCAGGCGGCGCGACAAGUCGAGUGUGAAAUCCCGGGGCUCAACCCCGGACGUGCAUUCGAGACUGCCGUGCUUGAGUGCGGGAGAGGGAAGCGGAAUUCCUGGGGUAGAGGUGAAAUUCGUAGAUAUCAGGAGGAACACCGGUGGCGAAUGCGGCUUCCUGGCCCGACACUGUCGCUCAUGUACGAACGCGUGGGGAGCAGACAGG